RNAcentral lists this ribosomal RNA (491 nucleotides) under uncultured bacterium. RNAcentral's name for it is "partial 16S ribosomal RNA". It matches the Rfam family "Bacterial small subunit ribosomal RNA", at positions 29 to 507 of the family's 1533-position model. The record is from RNAcentral.
AGUGAACGCUGGCGGUAGGCCUAACACAUGCAAGUCGAACGGCAGCACAGUAAGAGCUUGCUCUUACGGGUGGCGAGUGGCGGACGGGUGAGGAAUACAUCGGAAUCUACUUUUUCGUGGGGGAUAACGUAGGGAAACUUACGCUAAUACCGCAUACGACCUACGGGUGAAAGCAGGGGAUCUUCGGACCUUGCGCGAUUGAAUGAGCCGAUGUCGGAUUAGCUAGUUGGCGGGGUAAAGGCCCACCAAGGCGACGAUCCGUAGCUGGUCUGAGAGGAUGAUCAGCAAAACUGAAAGUGAGACACGGUCCAGACUCCUAGGGAAGGCAGAAGGGGGGAAAAUUGGAAAAUGGGGGCAGCCUGAUCCAGCCAUACCGCGUGGGUGAAGAAGGCCUUCGGGUUGUAAAGCCCUUUUGUUGGGAAAGAAAAGCAGCAGGUUAAUACCCCGCUGUUCUGACGGUACCCAAAGAAUAAGCACCGGCUAACUUCGUG